This 301-nucleotide ribosomal RNA is filed under the name uncultured bacterium. Its description in RNAcentral is "partial 16S ribosomal RNA". It matches the Rfam family "Bacterial small subunit ribosomal RNA", at positions 509 to 807 of the family's 1533-position model. The record is from RNAcentral.
CAGUAGCCACGGGAAUACGUAGGGCGCAAGCGUUGUCCGGAAUUAUUGGGCGUAAAGAGCUCGUAGGCGGUCUGUCGCGUCUGGUGUGAAAUCCCGAGGCUCAACCUCGGGCUUGCAUCGGGUACGGGCAGACUAGAGUGCGGUAGGGGAGACUGGAAUUCCUGGUGUAGCGGUGGAAUGCGCAGAUAUCAGGAGGAACACCGAUGGCGAAGGCAGGUCUCUGGGCCGCAACUGACGCUGAGGAGCGAAAGCAUGGGGAGCGAACAGGAUUAGAUACCCCGGUAGUCCCUGUCUCUUAUAC